RNAcentral lists this ribosomal RNA (427 nucleotides) under uncultured bacterium. Its description in RNAcentral is "partial 16S ribosomal RNA". It matches the Rfam family "Bacterial small subunit ribosomal RNA", at positions 355 to 774 of the family's 1533-position model. The record is from RNAcentral.
UGGGGAAUAUUGGACAAUGGGCGAAAGCCUGAUCCAGCCAUGCCGCGUGUGUGAAGAAGGUCUUCGGAUUGUAAAGCACUUUAAGUUGGGAGGAAGGGCAUUAACCUAAUACGUUAGUGUUUUGACGUUACCGACAGAAUAAGCACCGGCUAACUCUGUGCCAGCAGCCGCGGUAAUACAGAGGGUGCAAGCGUUAAUCGGAAUUACUGGGCGUAAAGCGCGCGUAGGUGGUUUGUGAAGUUGGAUGUGAAAUCCGCGGGGUCAACCUGGGAACUGCAUUCAAAACUGACUGACUAGAGUAUGGUAGAGGGUGGUGGAAUUUCCUGUGUAGCGGUGAAAUGCGUAGAUAUAGGAAGGAAGACCAGUGGCGAAGGCGACCUCCUGGACUAAUACUGACACUGAGGUGCGAAAGCGUGGGGAGCAAACA